Long non-coding RNA from Panicum virgatum (switchgrass), 3321 nucleotides. RefSeq lists it as uncharacterized. Lineage: Eukaryota; Viridiplantae; Streptophyta; Magnoliopsida; Poales; Poaceae. The record is from RefSeq and is a predicted model, not a curated record. The transcript is spliced from 4 exons.
CCUCUGCGACUUCGUUAGGGUUUCCCCUUGAUCCCACUGAGAUUUCUGUUGGUUUUUUAUUUGUACUCCAUUUCAUGGAUGGAGGUGAGGGAUUUGGAGGAGCACACGACAGUGUCUGUGUGAGGGACGAAUGUUAGCAGGGGUCAGCAUGGUGCUUUGUGUAGGUUUCAGACAUUUUCGGGAUGGAUUUUCAUGUUUCUGUUUCGGGAUUGGGGGAAGGUCUCUAUCUAGAAGGGGAUUAUGCCUGUGUGCACUAGGCAAGUGCCGAUCCGACGCUGGAGAUGAGUCAAUCAGGUGUGCAUGUUUCUGGAAUGGGAUUAUGCAUGCGUGAGGGAGGGGGUUGGUAGUUUUUUGCUUUUUUUAUGGUGAGACCAGGUAGGGUCGAUCCCAUGUUUUGGCACACAGUUUAGGUUUGCUGGUGUGCGCGCGCGAAUCUACUCUCCAGGUGCUAGGUUUUUAGUUCAUUUUUCUUGCUCCAUUUUUGCAGAAAUCAGAUGCAUUUCUAGCAUGAAAAAACUACUUUUCCCAUGUUUUGGUUGUUCGAAUGGAAUACAGGCCACAGAUCAUGAACUCAGCAUAUUUAAGUCAAGGACAAAUGGCAAUCUAGGUGCUUAUAGGUACUAAAAGAAGAAAAAUAUUCUGGCUCAUUAUUGUUGUUGACAGGUUCGAUCUGUCUAUACUCACUAUUUUUCUUGGUGUUUAGGACUUUUUCUAAUCACACAUGAUAUUGUUGUGUAUUAUAUGUUUCUGUUUGUGUAGACAUCUUUAUUGUUACUAAUAAAUGCGAUUUGGUUCUAGGUAGGUUAUGAAUGAUAUCCAAUAGGUAUUACUAAAGUUGGGUCAUUUUGAUUUCAGCCCAUGGGUUUAUGGGUUACCAUGCUCUAGUGUUUUAGUAGACUUUUUUUUUGCCUUACCUCUUUAAACCAUUUGUCAAUUAUAACUUGGGUUUCCUUUUUCAAUUAAUGAUUUUCUUUUAGUUACAGUUUAUAAUUAUAUAAGUUUACAUUAUAAAAUUUGAUAUAGCUCAAACGUAAUCUGUAUGUAAUUAUAUUUUUAAACUUCAUUUUGCUUACUUUUUUUCUUAUGGUUUAUUCUUGCUUCUAGUAUAGUUUGAUGCUCUCUUACCCGUUAUUAUUCAUUUUUGUUGUAUGUACAUGUUUCCGCUUAUGUUCAUGUUGAAGAAGGAUUUCUGAAGCCAGCAGCUUUGUUCGACUUGUCCCCACCAGCCUGACCCCUUUGAACUGCUUCUAGUUUUGCUUCCCGCUUGCCACCUAGUGGUAGCAUGUAUUCCUUUUCUGAUUUUUCUUUUUAUGACUUUUGGGCAGCUGCUCUGAAUUUGUUAUGUAACUUGAAUUAGCACUUAUUUUGUCUUUUCUCUCCAAUUUAUUUUUUUUAUCUUGGGUGUGUCUUGUUGGUAUAUGGUAUGAAAUACAACAUCAUUUUCAUACGAAUUGAUGGUGUGGUGUGUCUGUGGGGGGAGGGUGUUGGGGGAUUCUAAAUAAUUUUAUGAUUUCUGUUAUGUUCUAGCUUUAGUACCUUAUCAUAAGAUGGACAUUUAAUUUUUGUGUUUUGUUACCUCAUGGGUGGCGUUAUCCUCUUAUGUCUAGCAAGAAUAUGUUCGCACCUGAAUAAAUUUCUGCAACUCAUCUGUUGGAGCUUUUUAGUACCUUAUCAUAACUCAUUACAUGUAGAUGUGGUUGUGCUAUUUGCUUUUUUGGUUUACCCGAGCAGAGCUCGUCAAGCACUUUUUGAGAGCUUUGACUAUAAUUUAUCUACCUUUCCACAAGAUUUGUAACUAGAGAAAUUUAUUGUGCAAUGUGGGUUUGUUUGAACUCUGUCAAACACUUUUUUUGAGAGUUUUGACUCAUUUUUUCUACCUUUUCCAUAAGAUUUUGACAAGAUAAAUUUACAUUCAAAUGAUUGGAUAAAAGAUAAUUUUGCUAGGUUGAAGGCAUGAGUAGCAGUAUUCAAUUUGAUUUAGUUUCAAAAAUAAAAUCAGUUACUCCAUAACUUCAGUUAUGGUACUUUUUACUGCAAAUUUUUAUAGUGUUACUGCAUCUGUAUAUCAACUUUCAUGGUGUAUCUAGUAUUUGGACACAUGCAAUUCUUGUAAUAAAGUUAGAGCAAGGUAGAGAUGGAUAUUUCUGACCAGUUGAUUUGUGAUUUUAGUUUGUUUCUUUUCUUUUAGUACAAUUUCAUCCAGUGUAAUAUUUUUGCAACUUUAAUUGUAGUUUUAGUGUUAGUGGCUUGCAAUGCAGACUAGCAUCUUCAUUGAUGUAUUUGGCUUAUGCUCGUGGAUCCAUGACAUGGAUGUAUUCGAUUUGUUGUUUGGUUUAGAUUCAGAUAGGGGAUUCCAGUUUUACAAGGCUGUCAUUUCUGCAUAUCAUCUAGUCUCAUGCCUAAAAUGUUCUGUUAAAACUAUGAUCCAUUUCUUCACUAAGCAAGACAUUAGCAAUAGUUCCUUUUUUUCAUAUCAGCUGCUCGCCUGGAUAUGUGGUUUUUGUUUCCCAGUGCACUUUUCUUCCAUUUUUUCAAUUAAGUUACUGUCACUUGAACUUUGUAAUUGUUAUAGCUGACUUUAUUUUUUCAUAUCAACCGCUCGCCUGGGCCUAGAACUUUCUGCUUUAAGUUUACCUUAAGUUACUGUCACAUGAACUGUGUAAUUGUUAUAGCUGACUUUAUUUUUCUUUUUGCCCUGCAGUUGUUUGGGAUUUAAGGAACCAGAAACUACUGACUAGUUGUGAAAGGGAAUUUCUGCUUCAGCCUACAACGUACUGCUAGGGAGUCGGCGCAUAUGCUAACAGAGAUUGGAUCCUCCGAAGUUCAGCUAGUAUGUAAUUUGUCCUUUCAAGAGCCAGACAUACUUCCGAGGCAACAUCAACAAAACAUUUUGAAAGAUUGGAUCUGAAAGUCAAAGACAACAGAAAAUCAAUGGAUCUUUUAGGGGGAGAACAAGGGUUUACCGCCACCGUACCAUUGCAGCCUGGGCAAUGCUGCUGUUCUUUUGUGCCCAAAUUCUCUCCAUCCGUUGCCUUAUUUUGCUUUUUGGGAGGGGAUCCUCCGUGCCCACAUGUGAGAAGAAGAAAAAAAAGGUUUGGGUGAGGAGAGGAGGGGGGUGGCCAUGAACAGAUCUUGUCUUUUCUUUUUUUCCUUGUGUAUUUUUUUACAGAAAAAUGAUCAGGCUUGUGACUUUAUAUAGACGGGAUUGGGGGCUUCAAGUCUUUCUUGGCGGGCUGCUUAGGAAAAAUCCCCGCCAGACUUGUUUUUGUUCUUUUUUAUUUUAUACACAAAUUUCUGGGCCUCGUCUAUUUUUUGUGCUAA